AGGGUCGAAAUCAGACCUUUGGUCACUAAAAUGAUGGCCUAGGACAAAAUAGGGUUUCAUUCGAAGAUCGAAGAUUAUGAUUUGAGAGCUAGCUUGAAGUUCUUUCUAGAGACAUAAGAAUUAUUUUGAAGGGGAUUUGGAGGACUUAGCAAUUGUUAUUCAAAGUCAGGGUUUUUAUCGGUGAUUUGGAUUUUAUACAAUAUAAUUAGGACAAGCAAUUUUGGUUAAUUCUUACAAUUGGCAUGACAUCUAUGUUUGAAACUUUGAUGUUAUUUGGAUUAUUGGAUGUGUUAAGUGUAUGAAAAUUUUGUGAUAACCUAACGACACAGUUUAGAGAUAUCUAGUUUUUAGCACAAGAGAAUUUGAGAAGGUGGUAGUUUGAGUUUGGGUAGGGUUUCUAUGAUAUCUGAAGAUCUAUUAGUCGGAUUAAGGUGAAAAUUGGCAUGGUGUUGGAAGACUUAAAGAUC
Molecule: long non-coding RNA, 467 nt
Filed under: Physcomitrium patens
Lineage: Eukaryota; Viridiplantae; Streptophyta; Bryopsida; Funariales; Funariaceae
Description: long non-coding RNA (PPAT_LNC010832)
Source: RNAcentral